GAUGAACGCUGGCGGCGUGCCUAAUACAUGCAAGUCGAGCGAACAGACGAGGAGCUUGCUCCUCUGACGUUAGCGGCGGAAGGGUGAGUAACACGUGGAUAACCUACCUAUAAGACUGGGAUAACUUCGGGAAACCGGAGCUAAUACCGGAUAAUAUAUUGAACCGCAUGGUUCAAUAGUGAAAGACGGUUUUGCUGUCACUUAUAGAUGGAUCCGCGCCGCAUUAGCUAGUUGGUAAGGUAACGGCUUACCAAGGCAACGAUGCGUAGCCGACCUGAGAGGGUGAUCGGCCACACUGGAACUGAGACACGGUCCAGACUCCUACGGGAGGCAGCAGUAGGGAACCUUCCGCAAUGGGCGAAAGCCUGACGGAGCAACGCCGCGUGAGUGAUGAAGGUCUUCGGAUCGUAAAACUCUGUUAUUAGGGAAGAACAAAUGUGUAAGUAACUAUGCACGUCUUGACGGUACCUAAUCAGAAAGCCACGGCUAACUACGUG
Molecule: ribosomal RNA, 497 nt
Filed under: uncultured bacterium
Lineage: Bacteria
Description: partial 16S ribosomal RNA
Rfam family: Bacterial small subunit ribosomal RNA
Source: RNAcentral